This 800-nucleotide ribosomal RNA is filed under the name uncultured bacterium. RNAcentral describes it as "bacterial SSU rRNA". It matches the Rfam family "Bacterial small subunit ribosomal RNA", at positions 8 to 855 of the family's 1533-position model. The record is from RNAcentral.
AGAGUUUGAUCCUGGCUCAGAGCGAACGCUGGCGGCAGGCCUAACACAUGCAAGUCGAACGGACCCUUCGGGGUUAGUGGCGGACGGGUGAGUAACACGUGGGAACGUGCCUUUAGGCUCGGAAUAGCCCCUGGAAACGGGUGGUAAUGCCGAAUGUGCCCUUCGGGGGAAAGAUUUAUCGCCUUUAGAGCGGCCCGCGUCUGAUUAGCUAGUUGGUGAGGUAAUGGCUCACCAAGGCGACGAUCAGUAGCUGGUCUGAGAGGAUGACCAGCCACAUUGGGACUGAGACACGGCCCAAACUCCUACGGGAGGCAGCAGUGGGGAAUCUUGCGCAAUGGGCGAAAGCCUGACGCAGCCAUGCCGCGUGAAUGAUGAAGGUCUUAGGAUUGUAAAAUUCUUUCACCGGGGACGAUAAUGACGGUACCCGGAGAAGAAGCCCCGGCUAACUUCGUGCCAGCAGCCGCGGUAAUACGAAGGGGGCUAGCGUUGCUCGGAAUUACUGGGCGUAAAGGGCGCGUAGGCGGACAUUUAAGUCAGGGGUGAAAUCCCAGAGCUCAACUCUGGAACUGCCUUUGAUACUGGGUGUCUUGAGUGUGAGAGAGGUAUGUGGAACUCCGAGUGUAGAGGUGAAAUUCGUAGAUAUUCGGAAGAACACCAGUGGCGAAGGCGACAUACUGGCUCAUUACUGACGCUGAGGCGCGAAAGCGUGGGGAGCAAACAGGAUUAGAUACCCUGGUAGUCCACGCCGUAAACGAUGAUUGCUAGUUGUCGGGCUGCAUGCAGUUCGGUGACGCAGCUAA